Molecule: ribosomal RNA, 468 nt
Filed under: uncultured bacterium
Lineage: Bacteria
Description: partial 16S ribosomal RNA
Rfam family: Bacterial small subunit ribosomal RNA
Source: RNAcentral
GACGAACGCUGGCGGCGUGCUUAACACAUGCAAGUCGAACGGAAAGGCCCUGCUUUUGUGGGGUGCUCGAGUGGCGAACGGGUGAGUAACACGUGAGUAACCUGACCUUGACUUUGGGAUAACUUCAGGAAACUGGGGCUAAUACCGGAUAGGAGCUCCUGCUGCAUGGUGGGGGUUGGAAAGUUUCGGCGGUUGGGGAUGGACUCGCGGCUUAUCAGCUUGUUGGUGGGGUAGUGGCUUACCAAGGCUUUGACGGGUAGCCGGCCUGAGAGGGUGACCGACCACAUUGGGACUGAGAUACGGCCCAGACUCCUACGGGAGGCAGCAGUGGGGAAUAUUGCACAAUGGGCGGAAGCCUGAUGCAGCAACGCCGCGUGCGGGAUGACGGCCUUCGGGUUGUAAACCGCUUUCGCCUGUGACGAAGCGUGAGUGACGGUAAUGGGUAAAGAAGCACCGGCUAACUACGUG